This 395-nucleotide unclassified non-coding RNA is filed under the name Hevea brasiliensis (rubber tree). The record is from RNAcentral. Lineage: Eukaryota; Viridiplantae; Streptophyta; Magnoliopsida; Malpighiales; Euphorbiaceae.
GCAGAAUUAUAUGUGAUUGAGGGACAACAUGAUAAAGCUUUUGCUCUUUAUGCGGAUCUUAUGAAGCCGGAUCUGUUUGACUUCAUUGAAAAGCAUAAUUUGCAUGAUGCUGUGCGUGAAAAGGUUGUCCAACUAAUGAUGGUUGACAGCAAGCGUGCUAUACCUUUGUUGAUCCAGCAUAGGGACUUUAUAUAUCCACCCGAAGUGGUGUCACAACUUAUGGCUGCAAAGACUAAGUGUGAUUGUCGGUACCUUUUGCAUUUGUAUCUUCAUUCACUAUUUGAAGUGAAUCUCCAUGCUGGAAAGGAUUACCAUGACAUGCAGGUUGAGCUGUAUGCUGACUAUGAUCCUAAGAUGCUGCUUACCUUUCUUAGAAGCAGCCAGCACUAUACAUU